AUGCAAGUCGAACGAAGUAGCAAUACUUAGUGGCAGACGGGCGAGUAACAUGUGGGUAUCUACCCCUUUUGCCUGGAAUAACACGAGGUAACUUGUGCUAAUACCGGAUAAGUCUUUUACGGAGAAAAGCUUUUAUGCACCCAUUGGAUGAGCUCGCACUUGAUUAGUUUGUUGGUAGGGUAAUGGCCUACCAAGACUAUGAUCAAUAGCUGAUUUGAGAGGAUGAUCAGCCACAUUGGGACUGAGACACGGCCCCAAACUCC
This 263-nucleotide ribosomal RNA is filed under the name unidentified marine bacterioplankton. RNAcentral describes it as "partial 16S ribosomal RNA". It matches the Rfam family "Bacterial small subunit ribosomal RNA", at positions 55 to 339 of the family's 1533-position model. The record is from RNAcentral.